AUUGAACGCUGGCGGCAGGCCUAACACAUGCAAGUCGAACGAGUGGCGGACGGGUGAGUAAUGUCUGGGAAACUGCCUGAUGGAGGGGGAUAACUACUGGAAACGGUAGCUAAUACCGCAUACCAUCGGAUGUGCCCAGAUGGGAUUAGCUAGUAGGUGGGGUAAAGGAUCACCUAGGCGACGAUCCCUAGCUGGUCUGAGAGGAUGACCAGGCACACUGGAACGGAGUCACGGUACAGUGUCAGUCGGGUGGAAGAAGUGGUGAAUAUUGCACAAUAGACGCAAGCCUGAUGCAGCCAUGCCGCGUGUAUGAUGAAGGCCGUCGAGGUGGAAAGUACUUUCAGCGGGGAUGAAAUACCAGCAGAAGGAGAACCGGGUGACUCCGUGCCAGCAGCCGCGGUAAUAC
This 406-nucleotide ribosomal RNA is filed under the name uncultured bacterium. RNAcentral's name for it is "partial 16S ribosomal RNA". It matches the Rfam family "Bacterial small subunit ribosomal RNA", at positions 30 to 526 of the family's 1533-position model. The record is from RNAcentral.